CCUACGGGCGGCUGCAGUGAGGAAUAUUGGACAAUGGGUGAAAGCCUGAUCCAGCCAUCCCGCGUGAAGGAUGACGGUCCUAUGGAUUGUAAACUUCUUUUGUACAGGGAUAAACCUACUCUCGUGAGGGUAGCUGAAGGUACUGUACGAAUAAGCACCGGCUAACUCCGUGCCAGCAGCCGCGGUAAUACGGAGGGUGCAAGCGUUAUCCGGAUUUAUUGGGUUUAAAGGGUCCGUAGGCGGACCUGUAAGUCAGUGGUGAAAUCUCAUAGCUU
RNAcentral lists this ribosomal RNA (275 nucleotides) under uncultured Chryseobacterium sp. RNAcentral's name for it is "partial 16S ribosomal RNA". It matches the Rfam family "Bacterial small subunit ribosomal RNA", at positions 338 to 610 of the family's 1533-position model. The record is from RNAcentral. Lineage: Bacteria; Pseudomonadati; Bacteroidota; Flavobacteriia; Flavobacteriales; Weeksellaceae.